CUCCUUCAGGACACCCAUGAUUACGUGUGCCCACCAGAUGCUAAGGGAUUACAAAGAACGAAAGGAGGUUACAACUUAGCUAGACAGAAGAAAGGAAGAGUAUACAACACAGCGCAGUCUAGGUGAACAGAGCUGAAGAAGGGUGGUGUAGUAGUUCCUGUUCCUUUCCUGCCUCACUUCCUGGCCUCAAGUGAUCUACCUGCCUGGGCCUCCCAAAGUGCAGGAUUACAGCUGAUGACUCCCAGAAUGUCCUGACUGCAAGGAACAUGUACUAUGGACCCAUCAGAAGUGAGCUCAUUUUCUAAACAUCUGUGUUGCCAACAGGCACACACCUAAAGUUUCCUCCUAUGGCCACCUGUGGAUCACCCUGACCUUCAAAGCUGGUAGCCAAAGUUCUGCUUCCACCCCCACCAUCUGCAAGGUGGCACUUUUCAGUCUUGAUGGAUAAAUGUUAAAAAAUCACAAUCAACAAUUCCUAAUCAUCCCUAUGAUUUUCAAAGGAAAACGCUACUGUAUUGUCAAACUUUUUCUCUACAGGCUAAAAUAAAAAUAAAUGACUACUGAAAAAA
This 569-nucleotide non-coding RNA is filed under the name Pan troglodytes (chimpanzee). The record is from RNAcentral. Lineage: Eukaryota; Metazoa; Chordata; Mammalia; Primates; Hominidae.